RNAcentral lists this ribosomal RNA (279 nucleotides) under uncultured bacterium. RNAcentral describes it as "partial 16S ribosomal RNA". It matches the Rfam family "Bacterial small subunit ribosomal RNA", at positions 506 to 784 of the family's 1533-position model. The record is from RNAcentral.
UGCCAUCAGCCGCGGUAAUAUGGAGGGUGCAAGCGUUAAUCGGAAUUACUGGGCGUAAAGCGUACGCAGGCGGUUUGUUAAGCAAGAUGUGAAAGCCCUGGGCUCAACCUAGGAACCGCAUUUUGAACUGGCAAACUAGAGUCUUGUAGAGGGGGGUAGAAUUUCAGGUGUAGCGGUGAAAUGCGUAGAGAUGUGGAGGAAUACCAGUGGCGAAGGCGGCCCCCUGGAUCGACACUGACACUGAGGCGCGAAAGCGUGGGGAGCAAACAGGAUUAGAUA